GGGUUCACUUGAGCAGCACAUACACUAAAAUUGGAACAAUACAGAGAAGAUUAGCAUGGCCUCUGUUCAAGGAUGACAGAAUUCUUGAAGCAAUUUUUAAAAAUAAU
This is a small nuclear RNA of Octodon degus (degu), 107 nucleotides long. The record is from Ensembl. NCBI's taxonomy places the organism in Eukaryota, Metazoa, Chordata, Mammalia, Rodentia, Octodontidae.